RNAcentral lists this ribosomal RNA (206 nucleotides) under uncultured bacterium. RNAcentral's name for it is "partial 16S ribosomal RNA". It matches the Rfam family "Bacterial small subunit ribosomal RNA", at positions 568 to 774 of the family's 1533-position model. The record is from RNAcentral.
UGCGUAGGCGGUCUUUUAAGUCAGGAGUGAAAGGCUACGGCUCAACCGUAGUAAGCUCUUGAAACUGGAGGACUUGAGUGCAGGAGAGGAGAGUGGAAUUCCUAGUGUAGCGGUGAAAUGCGUAGAUACUAGGAGGAACACCAGUAGCGAAGGCGGCUCUCUGGACUGUAACUGACGCUGAGGCACGAAAGCGUGGGGAGCAAACA